Molecule: long non-coding RNA, 466 nt
Organism: Myiozetetes cayanensis
Lineage: Eukaryota; Metazoa; Chordata; Aves; Passeriformes; Tyrannidae
Exons: 3
Source: RefSeq, a predicted model, not a curated record
UAAUGAUGCCAUGUAAGGUAUGUGCAAAGUGUUAGGCUGGAAGUGGAAAGCACAGACACUGCUGCAAAGAGGUUCCAGAAGGUCUCAGAGAAACAUGAUGACAAAGCCCAAGGUACCCUCUGCCAGCCAGAAGAAAUGGGCUAAAAGCCUCAGAAUUGCUGUUCCAAGUGUGUCUCACAGCUCUUGGUGCUGCUCCCCUCGAGGACAUGGACCAGGUCCUGGUGUGUUUGGGUUUGGUGCCUUUUUCCAAGGAAUGCUAAACAUUUCCUCACCUGCCUUGCUUGAGACAGUCAAAUAAAGUGCAGUGGACCAGUUUAAUUGGAAAAUGGGCACUGGAACAUCAGCUCAGUGUGUGGUGGAGAGAUACCAUCUCCUGUAUUUCGAGCUUGUCAACACCUCUGGGUCCAGAGCAGCAAACCUCCAGUGUCCUGCAUUGCACACACAGCCUUGGUGCUGCAGGGUGAGA